Small nucleolar RNA from Eleginops maclovinus (Patagonian blennie), 66 nucleotides. The record is from RefSeq and is a predicted model, not a curated record. NCBI's taxonomy places the organism in Eukaryota, Metazoa, Chordata, Actinopteri, Perciformes, Eleginopidae.
AUGCAGUGAUGUAUGAAUUUCUUCACCUGAUACCUGAUGCUUUUGAGCUUUUUAACCCUGAGCAUU